UGAGCGUGUUGUGCUAGGUCACCACGGUUUUGAUUGGCGUUUCCUUCCUGGGACUCCUGGCCCAGGAGCAGACGGCAGGGGGAGGAAGGCAGAGUUGGGGGUGGCGCUUGGGGGCCGCGGAGCCCGAGGGACAUCCGUCCUGCAGGAAUGUCCCUGCCCCCAUGGCCUGAGUCUUGACCCCUGCGUCCGCGUUGGAGGGUCAAGAAGGAAGCGCUAGUCCACAAGAGAGCCUGGCUCAGGUCAGAGUCAAGCCAGAUUUUAAGGGGAACUACACCAUUCUGACUGUGCUGGCUAUUUGUAGGCGUCAACCCGACUGGGCUAAGGGAUGUCCCCGGAGCCGGAGCGGAGCCGGGAGAGCAUCACUUCUGGGUGAGACGGCUGUCGCACCGAGCAGGCAGUGACCUGAGAGCCGCUCCGCGCGUGAACCAGCUCCUGCAUCCCCGAGAUGGCGCCGCAGGGCCCGGACAUUUAUCGCCCCCUUUGCGCAAGAGGAACCAGGGGUACGCACGGUUUUG
Long non-coding RNA from Ailuropoda melanoleuca (giant panda), 515 nucleotides. RefSeq lists it as uncharacterized. NCBI's taxonomy places the organism in Eukaryota, Metazoa, Chordata, Mammalia, Carnivora, Ursidae. The transcript has 4 exons. The record is from RefSeq and is a predicted model, not a curated record.